This 400-nucleotide ribosomal RNA is filed under the name Rhizobium leguminosarum. RNAcentral describes it as "bacterial SSU rRNA". It matches the Rfam family "Bacterial small subunit ribosomal RNA", at positions 22 to 452 of the family's 1533-position model. The record is from RNAcentral. Lineage: Bacteria; Pseudomonadati; Pseudomonadota; Alphaproteobacteria; Hyphomicrobiales; Rhizobiaceae.
GCUCAGAACGAACGCUGGCGGCAGGYUUAACACAUGCAAGUCGAGCGCCCCGCAAGGGGAGCGGCAGACGGGUGAGUAACGCGUGGGAAUCUACCCUUGACUACGGAAUAACGCAGGGAAACUUGUGCUAAUACCGUAUGUGUCCUUCGGGAGAAAGAUUUWUCGGUCAAGGAUGAGCCCGCGUUGGAUUAGCUAGUUGGUGGGGUAAAGKCCUACCAAGGCGACGAUCCAUAGCUGGUYUGAGAGGAUGAUCAGCCACAUUGGGACUGAGACACGGCCCAAACUCCUACGGGAGGCAGCAGUGGGGAAUAUUGGACAAUGGGCGCAAGCCUGAUCCAGCCAUGCCGCGUGAGUGAUGAAGGCCCUAGGGUUGUAAAGCUCUUUCACCGGAGAAGAUAAU